RNAcentral lists this ribosomal RNA (257 nucleotides) under uncultured bacterium. RNAcentral's name for it is "partial 16S ribosomal RNA". It matches the Rfam family "Bacterial small subunit ribosomal RNA", at positions 524 to 777 of the family's 1533-position model. The record is from RNAcentral.
UGCGGAGGGUGCAAGCGUUGUCCGGAUUUAUUGGGUUUAAAGGGUGCGUAGGUGGUUUUCUAAGUCUGGUUUGAAAGCUGGUGGCUUAACCCAUCAGAUGUGGCUGGAAACUGGAGGACUUGAAUGCGUUGGCGGUAGCCGGAACGGGUCAUGUAGCGGUGAAAUGCAUAGAUAUGAACCCAGAACACCGAUUGCGAAGGCAGGCUACUACGACGAUGAUUGACACUGAGGCACGAGAGCAUGGGUAGCGAACAGGA